This 510-nucleotide ribosomal RNA is filed under the name uncultured bacterium. RNAcentral describes it as "partial 16S ribosomal RNA". It matches the Rfam family "Bacterial small subunit ribosomal RNA", at positions 28 to 507 of the family's 1533-position model. The record is from RNAcentral.
GACGAACGCUGGCGGCGUGCUUAACACAUGCAAGUCGAACGAAGAGCGACGGAAGCUUGCUUUUAUCAAUCUUAGUGGCGAACGGGUGAGUAACGCGUAAUCAACCUGCCCUUCAGAGGGGGACAACAGUUGGAAACGACUGCUAAUACCGCAUACGAUCUAACCUCGGCAUCGAGGAUAGAUGAAAGGUGGCCUCUACAUGUAAGCUAUCACUGAAGGAGGGGAUUGCGUCUGAUUAGCUAGUUGGAGGGGUAACGGCCCACCAAGGCGAUGAUCAGUAGCCGGUCUGAGAGGAUGAACGGCCACAUUGGGACUGAGACACGGCCCAGACUCCUACGGGAGGCAGCAGUGGGGAAUCUUCCGCAAUGGACGAAAGUCUGACGGAGCAACGCCGCGGGAGUGAUGACGGCCUUCGGGUUGUAAAGCUCUGUUAAUCGGGACGAAAGGCCUUCUUGCGAAUAGUGAGAAGGAUUGACGGUACCGGAAUAGAAAGCCACGGCUAACUACGUG